GGCUGGAUAGCUCAGUCAGCAUCGUAUGAGACUCUUAAUCUCAGGGUUGUGGGUUCAAGUCCCACAUUGGGCA
This is a non-coding RNA of Podarcis lilfordi (Lilford's wall lizard), 73 nucleotides long. Lineage: Eukaryota; Metazoa; Chordata; Lepidosauria; Squamata; Lacertidae. The record is from the annotation of a GenBank genome assembly.